RNAcentral lists this ribosomal RNA (515 nucleotides) under Burkholderia cenocepacia. RNAcentral's name for it is "bacterial SSU rRNA". It matches the Rfam family "Bacterial small subunit ribosomal RNA", at positions 472 to 987 of the family's 1533-position model. The record is from RNAcentral. Lineage: Bacteria; Pseudomonadati; Pseudomonadota; Betaproteobacteria; Burkholderiales; Burkholderiaceae.
ACGGUACCGGAAGAAUAAGCACCGGCUAACUACGUGCCAGCAGCCGCGGUAAUACGUAGGGUGCGAGCGUUAAUCGGAAUUACUGGGCGUAAAGCGUGCGCAGGCGGUUUGCUAAGACCGAUGUGAAAUCCCCGGGCUCAACCUGGGAACUGCAUUGGUGACUGGCAGGCUAGAGUAUGGCAGAGGGGGGUAGAAUUCCACGUGUAGCAGUGAAAUGCGUAGAGAUGUGGAGGAAUACCGAUGGCGAAGGCAGCCCCCUGGGCCAAUACUGACGCUCAUGCACGAAAGCGUGGGGAGCAAACAGGAUUAGAUACCCUGGUAGUCCACGCCCUAAACGAUGUCAACUAGUUGUUGGGGAUUCAUUUCCUUAGUAACGUAGCUAACGCGUGAAGUUGACCGCCUGGGGAGUACGGUCGCAAGAUUAAAACUCAAAGGAAUUGACGGGGACCCGCACAAGCGGUGGAUGAUGUGGAUUAAUUCGAUGCAACGCGAAAAACCUUACCUACCCUUGACAU